Long non-coding RNA from Raphanus sativus (radish), 316 nucleotides. RefSeq lists it as uncharacterized. The transcript is spliced from 2 exons. Lineage: Eukaryota; Viridiplantae; Streptophyta; Magnoliopsida; Brassicales; Brassicaceae. The record is from RefSeq and is a predicted model, not a curated record.
ACCGAUCAAACAUAUUCUUCCUCCGCAGUUCUAUCUAGUCGCCUCAUCGCUCUGUUGGUAUAUAUUCUUAGAUUCGAUGAGAGACUGAUUAGAGAAUCUCCACUGCGGAUGAUAAUUUUACCAGUCUGACUAUACCUUAGAAGAAGAGGAUCGUGCAGAAGUGUAACAUUUUCAUGCCAAAAUGUGGUAAAAUUAUUGAUCGAGAAAACUAGACAUUGGUAUCCGACAUAUGUGUCGCAGUUGUGUCAUUGUAAGAGCUUAUGAUCGAUCUUUAUCUAAAAUGUAAAUGUAAAUAUCUUUAUAUUAUUACUGCGAA